CGAAAAUAAGAAUUACAUCAUUCUUGAAUCCAACAAUAAGAAAAGAAAGAUGAGGUUCAUAAUCUUGUUCAUAAUCUUUAUCUCAGUAGGAUCUAACGAUUCCGGGCAUGAAAGUGGUGCUGGAAUUUACGGAUCCAGCUUUAAGUUCUUGUGACGUUGCAUCUGAAUGGAGCAAAACAUUUGAAGGCUGAGGUAUGCUGGAAAUCGGUAUCUACAUUCCACAUGACAAGUGUUUUUUUUGCAAGCCUUAGAAACCAAUGUUGUUGUCACUCUUAGGCAACCACAUUGGUCGUGUGUGCACCCAACCUUCUUAGGUGUGGCUGAGCCUAUAUAUAUCAGCCACACCUGCACUGUCUUCACUUUCAGGUCAAUCAGAUUCAAUUAAAAGGGUCCAAAAUGCUCCUAUUUUGGGUUCUAGAAUUUGCUUUAGCGGUUUUCGCUUGUGAGCCCAUAGGAGAUACUGAUGCAGCCUGUAGAAACGACUGUUACCGAAAAGACUGUGAUGGAACAGUGUAUGACAUCCAAGAGGCUACUUGCUGUGAAAACAAACUUCACCCAGGUGCAAGUUUGUCUUGUUGUGGAAAUGAGCCUUACAAUCCUGAAACAGCCACUUGUUGUAAACACAAUCUCACAGCCAGUGUUACUCAGGGUCUGAGUGAAAAGGUGUCCAAGUGCUGUGACCUGAAGGCCUACAACCCAGUCAAUGAAAUGUGUUGUCAAUCAACCAUCAUAUCAAAACCUGGACCAAUGGCUGAAUGCUGUGUUAAAGAUGUUUUUGAUGAGGACAAGCAGUUGUGUUGUGGUCCAGCUGAUAAUAAGACAAUUCUGGUGAGGAAUUCCCGUCACCAUGAGUGCUGUGGUCACAGCCAGUACGACACUGAGACUCAGUGCUGCUGUUCAAAUGAGGAGAAGAUGGAGAUACAAUCGAAGGAUUCAUCCUGCUGUGUCAAGAAUUUCACUCCAGGCCUUUCAAGUGGAAAUACCACCUUCAACAAACCUUCACCAAAGCAUGGAUAUUGUGGUGAAGAGAUUUACGAUAUGGAAAAUAAGUUGUGUUGUGGUCCAAAUAAUGAUAAAAAGAUCCUGACAAAGAAGUCCAGAGAUCAUGUGUGCUGUCAUCAUGGCCAGUUCAACGUCAAAACUGAGUGCUGCUGUUAUAACAAUCAUAUUGCUGAAGUACAGUUGACGAAUUCAUCUUGCUGUAUGAAACAGCAGAUAUUCAAGCUCCAACCCAAAUGCACUGAACCAAACACACAUCUCUGUGGGUCGUCGUGUUACAAUCCAAAGCAAAAUCGCUGCUGUGAGAGUAACCACGAGCCUCACUCACUUGACAACUCAGGUCAAAGGAAGGCCACAGCCACCGUGUACAACCCACAUACUCAGGUCUGCUGUGAUGGACGUGUAUCUCCGUGGAAGCCUUGGAUCGAUCAGUGCUGUGGAGAGACGCCGUAUGGCUCGGCACAACGUGGAGCUCUGUCUUGUAAUAAGACCUUGUACGAGGACAGAUAUGAUGGAGAGGAAUGUUCAGAGAUGGGUAUUCCUUACAACCCGGCUAAAGGGACCAUAUGUUGUUCUCAGUUUCAUGGCAGCCCAGGACAACACUGCUGUGGGACAGAAAUUUACCGGCCUCGUACUGAGAUCUGCUGCAAUGGACACAGACAUCUGAAAUCAGAAAACAUUCACUGCUGUGGGGUCAAAGCCUACAACAUUAAAGACCCACAGAUGAAGUGCUGUGCAGGAACACUGUACAAUCUGACAUCAUUAGACAAGCAUGGAGGGGAUGCGCAGUGCUGUGGAUCCAUUCUGCAAAAGCCACAGGACAUUUGCUGCUCAAGUGAGGACAAAGAGGUGCUCUACUCUGCCGAAAUAGGGUUCAGAUGCUGUGGUCACCUUUACUAUAACACCACCCUGUGGUCAUGCUGUGCUGGGGGGCUGAGAAGAAUCCGUGAACCAGGACAGGAUCAGAGAAAGAUGAUUAAUGGAUCCAGACUUCUAUCUGUGAAUAAUCUGAACAAAAUCGAUCUUUGCAAAGAAAUGCACAUUGGGACUGUGGAAAGUGUGUCGCUGCAGAGCAUUGUGUUCAGGAGUGUGCUGAAGGUCCAUGGGAUGGAGGCCAAAGUGAAAGCUCUGCCAUUCCCUUACAUCCUGGAAAGAGAUGAUCGCUGCAGCUCCCCUAAACUGAUUGCUGGGAAGACCUACUACUUUAACAAAGUUAAUGUUUUCAUUGAUUUCAAUCAUGACUCUGUUCUUCAGUCACUCCAUUUCAUUAUUUGCAAAUGUUCAUCUCAGGUCACCACUGGCUGAUGUAUACAUGGUCAGUGUGGAUCUGUUGCUCCCUUCUUUGAACAAGUUCUCUUUUUUCACAUAUUUACUCACAGUGUUGGCUUUGUCACACAGAAAAUUAAUUAAUUACACAUCACAUUAUACUGGUUAACAUUAUUUUACAAAGUAAUUUGUUACCAUAUUUAUUACAGAGUACUUGUUGCAUUGCAACCUAAUAUACUCACCCCAAAUUACUCUCUGAUGCACCCAUCACAGUGUGAAUGUUUGCUUGAACUUAAACACAGAAAGAAGUCGUUGUAUGAAUGUGUGAAUGAGGGACGUUGUAUCAAGCGCUUUGAGUGCUCAGGUAGGGUAGAAAAGUGUUAUAUAGAAGAACCUGUCCAUUUAUCAGUAGUAUACAAUACUUCACAUGAUAUGUUGUUUAUACAUUACUCUGCCUAUGUCCAGCCAAACCAUGUUGCUCUGUUGUUAACACAUCCCAAGAUGUCUUAUCACAGACAGAAUUUAGGUACUUUAAGUAAAGAAAACAAAAAACAAUGUAGCUUUUAACUUCAGUUUUACAGGGACUCACAUUGUAGUGAUUCACACAACUUGACAUUAAUCAAUACUGUAACACAGUAAGCUGGUGCACAAUGUUGUUUCUCAAAUCUAAAUUUGAACAAAAUCUAAAUGUAACUUUGAUUCUUGCACUGAUCUAAAAUACAAGGGACAACUGUGUGCACAUGUCCUUGAACCAUACAAUUCAAUACUUGUGGUAAAGUCCAUGAUUUACUGUGAUUGUUAAUUCUAAUGAAUGAUAAACACUUAAUGCCAAUAUCAUGAAUACAAAUAUGUUAGAAGGACCCACUAAAAAUUCCAUUAGUUUCUGUUUCUUUGAAUGUGAUUCAUGUAAAAUAGUUAAUGGUAAGGAUAGGUAUGGGAAUUUAAGAAUGGUAAGGAAUCUAGUAAGGACUUGAGGGACAUUUAAGCUAUAAGCAAACAUAAACACUGCCUGCUUGAUUUAGUGACUUUGUUGUUAAUAUAAUAUAUUGCAUAUAUAUAUUGUAAAUGUUUAAUAUUUGAAUGGACCUAUUAUCCUUUAAGGAUUCAAAUAAAUAAAUACAAACACUUAUUAAACCUGCUGUGUUUUCUCUUG
Long non-coding RNA from Oreochromis niloticus (Nile tilapia), 3418 nucleotides. The record is from Ensembl. Lineage: Eukaryota; Metazoa; Chordata; Actinopteri; Cichliformes; Cichlidae.